AUGAUUGAGAGAUUUCCUGGGGAAGAGAUGAUAUACUACAGUUUUGAUCGCGCGGAUGAUGAUCCACACAACUACUAUCCCGCAGAAUUCUUAAAUUCAUUAACACCUAAUGGGCUACCUCCCCAUAUCCUAAAGCUGAAAAUUAAUUGCCCUAUUAUAUUGUUACGGAACAUUGACCCAACGAGUGGUUUGUGCAAUGGGACGAGGUUGAUUGUCCGGGGAUUCAUGAGGAAUGCAAUCGAUGCUGAGAUUGUGUUGGGCCAGCAUGCUGGUAAGAGGGUGUUCCUUCCUCGAAUUCCCCUUUGCCCAUCAGACGAUGAGAUGUUUCGGUUUAGGUUCAAGAGGAAGCAGUUUCCAGUUAGACUUAGCUUUGCUAUGACCAUUAACAAGGCACAAGGA
This 399-nucleotide ribosomal RNA is filed under the name Triticum aestivum (bread wheat). RNAcentral describes it as "partial small subunit ribosomal RNA". The record is from RNAcentral. Lineage: Eukaryota; Viridiplantae; Streptophyta; Magnoliopsida; Poales; Poaceae.